UAACCUGCUAAAUAGCCCGUAUUGCUUUGGCAGUACGCUGGCUUCUUAGAGGGACUAUCGGCUCAAGCCGAUGGAAGCUUGAGGCAAUAACAGGUCUGUGAUGCCCUUAGAUGUUCUGGGCCGCACGCGCGCUACACUGUCUACCGCAACGAGCCUCCCCCUGACCGAGAGGUCCGGGUAAUCUUUUGAGUGGUAGACGUGCUGGGGAUCGACCAUUGCAACUAUUGGUCGUCAACGAGGAAUUUCUAGUAGGCGCAGGUCACCAGCCUGCGCCGACUGCGUCCCUGCCCUUUGUACACACCGCCCGUCGCU
RNAcentral lists this ribosomal RNA (312 nucleotides) under uncultured fungus. RNAcentral's name for it is "bacterial SSU rRNA". It matches the Rfam family "Eukaryotic small subunit ribosomal RNA", at positions 1344 to 1680 of the family's 1831-position model. The record is from RNAcentral. Lineage: Eukaryota; Fungi.